RNAcentral lists this ribosomal RNA (453 nucleotides) under Streptococcus parasanguinis. RNAcentral describes it as "bacterial SSU rRNA". It matches the Rfam family "Bacterial small subunit ribosomal RNA", at positions 28 to 465 of the family's 1533-position model. The record is from RNAcentral. Lineage: Bacteria; Bacillati; Bacillota; Bacilli; Lactobacillales; Streptococcaceae.
GAUGAACGCUGGCGGCGUGCCUAAUACAUGCAAGUAGAACGCUGAAGCUUGGUGCUUGCACCGAGCGGAAGAGUUGCGAACGGGUGAGUAACGCGUAGGUAACCUGCCUCUUAGCGGGGGAUAACUAUUGGAAACGAUAGCUAAUACCGCAUAAAAGUCGGCAUUGCAUGAUGUUGACUUGAAAGGUGCAACUGCAUCACUAAGAGAUGGACCUGCGUUGUAUUAGCUAGUUGGUGAGGUAACGGCUCACCAAGGCGACGAUACAUAGCCGACCUGAGAGGGUGAUCGGCCACACUGGGACUGAGACACGGCCCAGACUCCUACGGGAGGCAGCAGUAGGGAAUCUUCGGCAAUGGACGGAAGUCUGACCGAGCAACGCCGCGUGAGUGAAGAAGGUUUUCGGAUCGUAAAGCUCUGUUGUAAGAGAAGAACGAGUGUGAGAGUGGAAAGUUC